RNAcentral lists this ribosomal RNA (507 nucleotides) under uncultured Acinetobacter sp. RNAcentral describes it as "bacterial SSU rRNA". It matches the Rfam family "Bacterial small subunit ribosomal RNA", at positions 381 to 876 of the family's 1533-position model. The record is from RNAcentral. Lineage: Bacteria; Pseudomonadati; Pseudomonadota; Gammaproteobacteria; Moraxellales; Moraxellaceae.
GCCUGAUCAGCCUUGCCGCGUGUGUGAAGAAGGCCUUUUGGUUGUAAAGCACUUUAAGCGAGGAGGAGGCUACCGAGAUUAAUACUCUUGGAUAGUGGACGUUACUCGCAGAAUAAGCACCGGUUAACUCUGUGCCAGCAGCCGCGGUAUUACUGAGGGUGCGAGCGUUAUNCGGAUUUCCUGGGCGUAAAGCGNGCGUAGGCGGCUUUUUAAGUCGGAUGUGAAAUCCCUGGAGCUUAACUUAGGAAUUGCAUUCGAUACUGGGAAGCUAGAGUAUGGRARAGGAUGGUAAAAUUCCAGGUGUAGCGGUGAAAUGCGUAAAGAUCUGGAGAAAUACCGAUGGCGAAGGCAGCCAUCGGGCCUAAUACUGACGCUGAGGUACGAAAGCAUGGGGAGCAAACAGGAUUAGAUACCCGGGUAGUCCAUGCCGUACACGUAUGUCUACUAGCCGUUUGGGGCCUUUGAGGCUUUAGUGGCGCAUCUAACGCGAAUAAGUACACCGCCUGG